AGUUGGAUUUCUGUUAAUAAUUUAUAUAUAAUAUUUUUAAUAUUUAUAUAAUAUUAACAUAAUUCAUAUUACUAUAUUAUUAUUAGUAUAUGAAAUUUUACUUUGAGAAAAUUAGAGUGCUUAAAGCAGGCAUAUGCCUUGAAUACUCCAGCAUGGAAUAAUAUAAAAGAUUUUUAUCUUUUUUAUUGGUUCUAAGAUAAAAAUAAUGAUUAAUAGGGACAGUUGGGGGCAUUUGUAUUUAACAGUCAGAGGUGAAAUUCUUAGAUUUGUUAAAGACAAACUAGUGCGAAAGCAUUUGCCAAGGAUGUUUUCAUUAAUCAAGAACGAAAGUUAGGGGAUCGAAGACGAUCAGAUACCGUCGUAGUCUUAACCAUAAACUAUGCCAACUAGAGAUUGGAGGUUGUUCCUUACUCCU
Molecule: ribosomal RNA, 415 nt
Filed under: Cryptosporidium parvum
Lineage: Eukaryota; Apicomplexa; Conoidasida; Eucoccidiorida; Cryptosporidiidae
Description: SSU rRNA
Rfam family: Eukaryotic small subunit ribosomal RNA
Source: RNAcentral